This 800-nucleotide non-coding RNA is filed under the name Pan troglodytes (chimpanzee). Lineage: Eukaryota; Metazoa; Chordata; Mammalia; Primates; Hominidae. The record is from RNAcentral.
GACUUGCAGUCGGAGGCAGGCAAGAAGUGAAAUCAGAAGACAGGAAGUGGCUGAGGGGAACGUCUUUUCUCUCUCCUGCUCAGCCCGAAGUGAACAGGUAGCAUCAGAGAUGAGAUCCUGAAUUGAAUGACUUGAAUUACUAUGGAAAGUGAUUGACCAAGAUUGUCUCCAUUCCUCCCUGGCUUCUCCACAGGGCGGCUCACCAUGGCAGCCGGCUCCAUCACCGCCAGCCAGCGAGAGGGCAAGACGAGAGGGCUGACAAGAGGGACGCUACCAUCACAGAGGCUGGUCUCGAACUCCUGACCUGAGGUAAUCCGCCCACCACAGCCUCCCAAAGUGCUGGGAUUACAGGCGUGGCUAUUAGUCUCGCCAAGUUAAGAUUCUUGAUGCCAACCAAUCACCCACUCCAUGUUUUUCAGGAUUAUAAACACUAGUUAUAAAGCAUGAACUGCCUAGGGGUGGUGGCUCACGCCUGUAAUCCCAGCACUUUGGGAGGCAGAGGCAGUUGGAUCACCUGAGGUCAGGAGUUUGAGACUAGCCUGACCAAUAUGGUGAAACCCCACCUCUAGCUGGGCGUGGUGGUGUGCACCUGUAAUCCCAGCUACUUGGAGACAGGAGAAUCGCUUGAACCUGGGAGGUGGAAGUUGCAGUGAGUGGAGAUCAUGCCAUUGUACUCCAGCCUGGGCAACAGAGCAAGACUUCAUCUCAAAAAUAAGCAUUGACAACUGCGGGUCAAAACUGCCCCUGGUUGAGACUCACUGGCUGGAGCCAAAAGGCUGAGCUGCCUGCCCAACAGCAGC